This 455-nucleotide ribosomal RNA is filed under the name uncultured bacterium. RNAcentral describes it as "bacterial SSU rRNA". It matches the Rfam family "Bacterial small subunit ribosomal RNA", at positions 28 to 507 of the family's 1533-position model. The record is from RNAcentral.
GAUGAACGCUGGCGGCGUGCUUAACACAUGCAAGUCGAACGAACAUGUCUUUCGGGAUAUGUUAGUGGCAGACGGGUGCGUAACACGUGGGUGACCUGCCCUGGAGUGGGGAAUAACUAUCCUAACGGAUAGCUAAUACCGCAUAUGCUCGGUGGUUCGUUCCGCUGAGUAAAGUCGCAAGACGCUUUGGGAUGGGCCUGCGGCGGAUUAGGUAGUUGGUGGGGUAAUGGCCUACCAAGCCGAUGAUCCGUAGGGGGCGUGAGAGCGCGGCCCCCACACUGGCACUGAGAUACGGGCCAGACUCCUACGGGAGGCAGCAGUGAGGAAUAUUGCGCAAUGGGCGAAAGCCUGACGCAGCAACGCCGCGUGAGGGACGAAGGCCUUCGGUCGUAAACCUCUUUCUUGGGGAAAGAGACAGGACGGUACCUCAGGAAUAAGUCUCGGCUAACUACGUG